UACGUAGGGUGCAAGCGAUAAUCGGAAUUACUGGGCGUAAAGGGUGCGCAGGCGGCCUUGUAAGUCAGAUGUGAAAUCCCCGGGCUUAACCUGGGAACUGCGUUCGAAACUACAGGGCUAGAGUGUAGCAGAGGGGGGUGGAAUUCCAUGUGUAGCAGUGAAAUGCGUAGAGGUAUGGAAGAACAUCGAUGGCGAAGGCAGCCCCCUGGGUUAACACUGACGCUCAGGCACGAAGGCGUGGGGAGCGAACGGG
This 253-nucleotide unclassified non-coding RNA is filed under the name uncultured Gammaproteobacteria bacterium. RNAcentral's name for it is "contains 16S-23S intergenic spacer region". It matches the Rfam family "Bacterial small subunit ribosomal RNA", at positions 524 to 776 of the family's 1533-position model. Lineage: Bacteria; Pseudomonadati; Pseudomonadota; Gammaproteobacteria. The record is from RNAcentral.